AAGCGGUCUUGGUCUGGACGUUGGACACAAAUGAAGUACAUGAAGUUGCAAUGGCUAACUAUUAACUAAACAAAUCCCAAGGAAAAAGCUACUAGAUGGAUCUACUUAAAUAGGAGCAAGGGGUGGCGGCCAAGGAGGUGAGAGGACAUCCCAAGGCAGCCUAAAACUAACCCUAGGUCGUACAAGGCUCAUGGGCCCAAGUGGAGGUGUUGCAACACCUUUGGACUUGUAGUUUGAUUCGGAUUCUGCUACAGCGUCAGAUUGUUUCAUCGAUAACUCAACACUCCAGACGAAUUUGAAGGUGAAUCCAAUUGGGUUGGAAAUAUCAAUAAUUCUACUUUCCAACAAAAAAAGAAUCACCCAAUUCGGAGUUCGUAUGAAAGAGUUCUUAGCGUUUUGAGUCAGGUAUGUCUGUGCAUUCCGAAUCUGAAUCCAGAACGUGAGAGACUUGGACUCUAUCUUCUCUUGCCCCAAAAGUGACGUGAGAGGAACAACACCUAAACUUCUCUUUUCCCCUUAUCUUCAUAUGUGGAUUGUACAAAUGUCUCAUACACCUGCAAUUAGACAUGACACAAAAGUUUGUGAAGUAUUUUUGUCCUGGAUGACAUAAAUAAAUUAUUGCAUAGUUUGCAUUAGAAAUCACCUCACAAAUAUACAUGUACGCAAUAUUUUUGGUCAUAUCCAAGGUAGUCAUGUCCUCAUCAAACCCCAAUCAUGAUCAUUGCAAUAAGUAGUGGACAUAACAAAAUUAUCAUCCCAAGCUUGUAGCUUUGCAUAUUAUUAGCACAAUUGACAUUAAUAGAAUGUAUAGUAAAAUCAUUGCAGUCAUGCUUUUCAUUCAAGGGGCUAUCAUGAAUCACAUUAUAAUUUUUUUCAUUUAACACUUCAUCACAAUUUUCAGAUUCAUGAUUUUCAAGCAAAACUUCAUAGAGAUAAUCUAGUGCACUCAAAUCACUAACAAUUGGUACAUCAUAAUUUGGUCUUUUAAAAAGAUUAGCAUAUGGAUGAGGAUCCAUAUCAACAGAUUUUUAACAAGCGAAGGUGCAAGGAAAUAGAAGGCACAUGACAACACAAGCAAAGAUAGCAAACAAGAAAAAGGCAAACGGAAAGAAGGCAAAUAAAAAGGCAAUAUUUUUGUAUUUUUUUCUAAAAACGCUUUAGAAGUGGGGGAGAGGAAAACGAGAGGAAAAUGGCAAAUAAUGUAAAUGCAAGAUAUGAGAGUUUAUGAUAGGUACUUGGUAGGCUUGAUGUCGAUCCUCCCCGGCAACGGCGCCAGAAAUUCUUCCUCCUACUUCUCGAGCUUGCGUUGGUUUUUCCCUUGAAGAGGAAAGGGUGAUGCAGCAAAGUAGAGAUAAGUAUUUCCCUCUGUUAAGAACCAAGGUAUCAAUCUAGUAGGAGGAACAUAUAAGUCUCUAAUAGUUGUACCUGCACAAGCAAACAAAUACUUGCACCCAACACAAUAAAGGGUUGGCAAUCCCUUCACGGUUACUUGCAAGGAUGAGAUCUGAUAGUGAUAGAUAUAAAAGAUAAGUAAAAGUGCAAAAUAAAAUAAAGGUAAAUAAAUUACAGCAAGGUAUAUUUGUGUUUUUGACUUUAUAGAUCUGAAAAUAAUAUGAUAAAAGAUAGACUCGGGGGGCCAUAGUUUUCACUAGAGGCUUCUCUCUUGAAAGAAAGCAUACGGCGAGUAAACAAAUUAAUGUUGAGCAAUUGAUAGAAGAGCGCAUAGUUAUGACGAUAUCCAAGGCAAUGAUCAUGUUUAUAGGCAUCACGUUCGAGACAAGUAGACCGAGUCCUGCCUACAUCUACUACUAUUACUCCACACAUCGACGGCUAUCCAGCAUGCAUCUAGUGUAUUAAGUUAAGAAAAAUGGAGUAACGCCUUAAGCAAGAUGACAUGAUGUAGAGGGAUAGAUCCAAUCAAUAUGAACAAACCCCAUAUUUUUAUCCUUAAUGACAACAAUUCAAAUAUGUGUCAUGUCCCCUUCUGUCACUAGGAUUGAGCACCACAAGAUUGAACCCGUUACAAAGCACCUCUCCCAUUGCAAGAAAAAUCAAUCUAGUUGGCCAAACCAAAUCAAUAGAUCAGAGAGAAAUACAAAGCUAUAUAAAUCAUGCAUAAAGAGUUGAAAGAAGACUCAAAUAAUAUCCAUAGAUAAUCUGAUCAUAAACCCACAAUUCAUUGGAUCUCAACAAACACACCGCAAAAGAGGAUUACAUUGAAUAGAUCUCCAAGAACAUCAAGGAGAACAUUGUAUUGAAUAUCAAAGAGGGAGAAUAAGACAUCUGGCUACUAGCUGUGGACCCAUAGGUCUAUGGUAAACUACUCACGCUUCAUCGGAAGGGCAAUAGAAUUGAUGUAGAAGCCCUCCGUGAUUGAAUCCCCCUCCGACAGGAUGCGAGAAAAGGAUCCUAGAUGGGAUCUCAUGGGAACAUAAGGUUGCGACGGUGGAAAAGUGUUUUCGUGGAUACUUCUAGUGGUUUGGGAAUAUAUGUGAAUAUAUAGGCUGAAGAAUUAGGUCAGGGGAGUCUUCUGGUCCUCCCACGAAGCUUCUGGGGUCUCUUAUGUUCCAAGAAAAUCGUCAAAAAGUUUCGUCGUGUUUGGACUUCAUUUGAUAUGGAUUUUCUAGAAAACCAAAAACAAGCAAAAAAAACAUCAACUAGCACUGGGCACCAGGUUAAUAUGUUAGUCCAUGAAAAUCAUAUAGAAGUGCACAAAAAUCAUAUAAAAUUAUUGUAAACAUGGCAUGAAUACUUUAUAAAUUAUAGAUACGUUGGAGACGUGUCAACAUCCCCAAGCUUAAUUCCUGCUCGUCCUCGAGUAGGUUAAUGAUAAAAGAAACAAUCUGUGAAGUGUGGAUGCUAGCAUAGUGCAUAAAUUUGAUCAAUGAUAAUUCUAAUCACUUUCUCUAGCAUCAUUAACAACGACCCUUUCUCAUAAAACUCAUCAUGACAAAGUAGCAAUCAAUUCACAUGUUAUGGUUCAAACAAUCAUAUUAUUUUCAGGGAAGUCUAAGUAAGUGCUCCACAUACUCAAUUAUCAUAUAGUCUUCUAUGGUUGCUAGUCAAAGCAUAUUUUUAGAACAAACAAUAUUCAUCGAACACAGAUGAAGAUAGGGGCUUAAUGUUUUGCCUCCCAACUUACUUAUCAUAGAGAUAAUUUUCAACAAUAAUAAUUCAUGAUCAAAUAUAUUUGACUGGAUAUAUGUGCCUAGAUAUUUCCCCACCACAUGAUGCUUGCCAAGUAGAGAAUAUUUGAGGUUGGAAUGAUAAGUUGACCGAACAAAAGAAUUGUCAGAAAAUUAAAAGAUAAGCCCUUCGUAGAGGGAAGCAUGGAUUUGCAGCGGUGCUAGAGUUCAUUGCUAAAAACAAAGAUGAAAACAUUUUGAGUGGUGUGCUUUUCCUAUCAAGGUCAUGACUAAGGAUUUCAAUAUCUUCCAUGCUAAACACAUUAUCGGUGGUUCCCACAUGGAAAUGAAAAGUUUACUCCCCCUCAACCAUACAAACACACAAGCCAUGGCUAGCCAAAUUCACGGGUUCCCUCCAAACAAUCAACUUUCCAGGGGAGUUUGAUUUAUUAUAUUUUUCUUUAUUUUUGUUUAGUGGAAUUGGGCAUCCCAAUUACCAGCCUCUCUCGUGCAAUGAUAAGUGAAUAAACACCCAUCAUGAGAAUAACCCGCUUACUGUUAGUUACUUGAUCAAAGAGUUUGUAUGAUUAUUGUUAGUUUCUAAAUGAUAUAAGCAAAAACCAAAAGAGUUAGUAUUUGCCUAAGGGUUUGUAUAACAUGUUUCAAAACAAUAUAGAUGGUAAAAAUAUCAAAGAGAACAUAAUUUGGUAUCCCUAGUUAAUAAUAGAAACAUUUAUCAGACCUCCAAAGUGUGCUAAAAGCAUACGAAAGUAUGUAUGGAAAAAAUUGCCAAAGCAUUUCUAGAGCGGGGCCUAUAUUCUCAUUAGUACAGUAUAGUUUAGUCAAGUUAGGAUGAUGACAUGGGUGAUAUUGCUACAAAGAAGAACAGAUCGGAAAAGAAUCUUCUAUAUUACCAUGUAAAUACAUGUGAUGUUUUUAUUAUUUGAUCCAAAUAUUUCACAUGAUUGCUCACAAUUUCAGAAAUGCAAGGGAAAAGAUAAGAAGAUAUAUCCACCGCAUGUAUGUGUUAAUUAUUUGCAGCAGUUGAGAUGAAACAGGAAGAACAUGUAUAAAGAAAGAUGAAAGAACAUACAGAAGCAACGAACAUCUAUAGCGACCAGUUUGUAAGCUCAUAACCAAAUAAAACAACUAGACAAAUUAGAUCCAUGGUGAACAAAAACAUGUAGUCAAGAGGGAGGAGCGACUCUUGCAGUACAUCAUCCUCAUCACCGAAUUUGUGGUGGCCACGGAGGACAAUGAUUCUCACGCCACCUCCCCCUCUUCCUCUGAUUUAUUCCCUUUCCAUUGAUGCUCCUUGUUCGUACUCAUUGAGGCCGUGCCAAAGGACCCGCUGCACGAGAGGAGGGCAUCGCUAGAUGGGAGAGCAAAGGGUGAGGAGAUUGGCGGCUUGAGAAGGGGGUUUGGAAGGGAGCGUUGCUGAUAGGAGAAUCGGGGCUGAAGAGCAGCCACGUGCACCGAGGAGGCCGCCCGAGCCCAAGAACCGGGCCAAGGUCUUGCGGCCACAGGACCCCAAGGUCGAACAGAGGUGGAAGAUAGCAUGAAGAGAAAAGGUGGGGCAGGGGUUGCGACAGCGACAUGGCUGGGCCCCAAGGCCAAUAGGGAAGAGUUUGGAGAGGACGGGAGAGAGAACGUUGAUGCUUUUCUUGCGCCGCCCUAUCGCUGCAGGUGGAGAAGACGGGAGAUGGGAUUUUUUUUUUAGGGAAAAAAUG
RNAcentral lists this ribosomal RNA (4855 nucleotides) under Triticum aestivum (bread wheat). RNAcentral describes it as "partial small subunit ribosomal RNA". Lineage: Eukaryota; Viridiplantae; Streptophyta; Magnoliopsida; Poales; Poaceae. The record is from RNAcentral.